Molecule: long non-coding RNA, 1184 nt
Filed under: Daucus carota (carrot)
Lineage: Eukaryota; Viridiplantae; Streptophyta; Magnoliopsida; Apiales; Apiaceae
Description: long non-coding RNA (DCAR_LNC003327)
Source: RNAcentral
UUUAUUCGGAAUGCAUUCCCUAACGUAGCCGUAGGUGAUGAAAUGACAUGCCCCUGUAGAAUAUGUAAAAACAUAAAGUGGCAUAGUCAGGACCUUAUAUACGAUCAUCUCAUCUGCAAUGGCCAUUCGCCUUUGUGCUCUGAAUGGAUUGUGGGAAUUGCACAGAUUCCUCUCCAGCCAGUUAACGACGAGGAUCUUGAUUUAGGGGAUAAAGAGAAUAAUUUAAAUUUCGAAGAUAACCUAGAUGAGAUGUUUCAUCAGCCUAAUGGACCAAAUGUCGAUGCUAAAAAAUUUCUGCUGCCAUACAUGUAAGAUUCCAUUGUAGAUAUUGUGAGCUAGUUGGUUAGAUGCCAUAACAUAUUAUCUUGGCUCAUAAACUCUAUGUAUACUCUAUAUAUAACUUAAGGGAAUUGCGAUAAAUUUCUAUGUAUGACUUACCUGAUUAAAAGAAUAUUGUUGUUAAUGAUUUGUAUGAUUAAUAAUAUGCAUGUGUUUGGUCUUAUAUUUGAAAGUGAAACUAUAAAUUAUGACAUAUAUGUAUAUUCUGUUUAUCUUAACCCCUGGGAUGAGGUAGUACAUGGCAGAUAUGUUAACCCCUGUAUAGGUUACCAUAAUAAACAUAUAGGUUUUGAAUGUUUUAUUUUAAGUAUAAUCCAUAUAUGAUCUUCAAUAUAUAAAGUAAAAUAAUGGUCUUGUCUAGGAAAGGCAUUGAAAUCGUUUGUUUAUGUGACCUAAAUAAUAAAUAAACUGAAUUGUCUUAAUUGUAGCCAUGGACGAUGUGGAUAAUACUUGGAUAAACCUUCCAAAGUAUAGUGUCGAGUACAUCAGAGGAAUAAAAUCCUUUAUUCGGAAUGCAUUCCCUAACGUAGCCGUAGGUGAUGAAAUGACAUGCCCCUGUAGAAUAUGUAAAAACAUAAAGUGGCAUAGUCAGGACCUUAUAUACGAUCAUCUCAUCUGCAAUGGCCAUUCGCCUUUGUGCUCUGAAUGGAUUGUGGGAAUUGCACAGAUUCCUCUCCAGCCAGUUAACGACGAGGAUCUUGAUUUAGGGGAUAAAGAGAAUAAUUUAAAUUUCGAAGAUAACCUAGAUGAGAUGUUUCAUCAGCCUAAUGGACCAAAUGUCGAUGCUAAAAAAUUUUAUGCCCAUCUUGAAGAGGGAAAGCAACCCUUAUAUCCAGGCUCCAAAA